RNAcentral lists this long non-coding RNA (542 nucleotides) under Sarcophilus harrisii (Tasmanian devil). RNAcentral's name for it is "lncRNA (ENSSHAG00000028772.1)". Lineage: Eukaryota; Metazoa; Chordata; Mammalia; Dasyuromorphia; Dasyuridae. The record is from RNAcentral.
CUAAAAGGCCUUUUUGGUCCCUUCUCUGACUUGCGAACUCCUCGCUGAGGGUGUUAACUCGUCCCUCCCUGAAAGCUCCGUCCGUCUCCUAGGUUACAGGCCAGCCCGGGGGCGGGCCUAAAAGGCCUUUUUGGUCCCUUCUCUGACUUGCGAACUCCUCGCUGAGGGUGUUAACUCGUCCCUCUCUGAAAGCUCCGUCCGUCUCCUAGGUUACAGGCCAGCCCGGGGGCGGGCCUAAAAGGCCUUUUUGGUCCCUUCUCUGACUUGUGAACUCCUCGCUGAGGGUGUUAACUCGUCCCUCUCUGAAAGCUCCGUCCGUCUCCUAGGUUACAGGCCAGCCCGGGGGCGGGCCUAAAAGGCCUUUUUGGUCCCUUUCCCCCUCCUCCUAGACUAGGUGUAACUUCGAGCGCUCUUCGCGCAUCAUUAAUUAUUAUUCAUGAAGCUACAGAUUCCCGGCGCUCAAAAGAUGCGGGCGUUCGCCCUCCCUGUGUUGCCGCGUAGGUGUCCUACGCAGAGCAUUCUGGGAAAUGUAGUCCUUGAUC